RNAcentral lists this transfer RNA (17 nucleotides) under Anabasis haussknechtii. RNAcentral describes it as "partial tRNA-Gln". The record is from RNAcentral. Lineage: Eukaryota; Viridiplantae; Streptophyta; Magnoliopsida; Caryophyllales; Amaranthaceae.
AUAUGUUCUGGGACGGA